RNAcentral lists this ribosomal RNA (440 nucleotides) under uncultured bacterium. RNAcentral describes it as "partial 16S ribosomal RNA". It matches the Rfam family "Bacterial small subunit ribosomal RNA", at positions 338 to 795 of the family's 1533-position model. The record is from RNAcentral.
CCUACGGGCGGCAGCAGUGGGGAAUAUUGCACAAUGGGGGAAACCCUGAUGCAGCGACGCCGCGUGAGUGAAGAAGUAUCUCGGUACGUAAAGCUCUAUCAGCAGGGAAGAAAAUGACGGUACCUGACUAAGAAGCCCCGGCUAACUACGUGCCAGCAGCCGCGGUAAUACGUAGGGGGCAAGCGUUAUCCGGAUUUACUGGGGGUAAAGGGAGCGUAGACGGCAGCACAAGUCUGGAGUGAAAUCCCGGGGCUUAACCCCGGAACUGCGUUGGAAACUGUUCGGCUGGAGUGCAGGAGGGGUAAGCGGAAUUCCUAGUGUAGCGGUGAAAUGCGUAGAUAUUAGGAGGAACACCGGUGGCGAAGGCGGUUUACUGGACUGUAACUGACGUUGAGGCUCGAAAGCGUGGGGAGCAAACAGGAUUAGAUACCCGGGUAGUC